RNAcentral lists this ribosomal RNA (397 nucleotides) under uncultured bacterium. Its description in RNAcentral is "partial 16S ribosomal RNA". It matches the Rfam family "Bacterial small subunit ribosomal RNA", at positions 523 to 918 of the family's 1533-position model. The record is from RNAcentral.
AUACGUAGGGGGCGAGCGUUGUCCGGAAUGAUUGGGCGUAAAGGGCGCGUAGGCGGCCCGGUAAGUCUGGAGUGAAGGUCCUGUUUUUAAGAUGGGAAUUGCUUUGGAUACUGUCGGGCUUGAGUGCAGGAGAGGUAAGUGGAAUUCCCAGUGUAGCGGUGAAAUGCGUAGAGAUUGGGAGGAACACCAGUGGCGAAGGCGACUUACUGGACUGUAACUGACGCUGAGGCGCGAAAGUGUGGGGAGCAAACAGGAUUAGAUACCCUGGUAGUCCACACUGUAAACGAUGAAUGCUAGGUGUAGGGGGUAUCGACCCCUUCUGUGCCGCAGUCAACACAAUAAGCAUUCCGCCUGGGGAGUACGGCCGCAAGGUUGAAACUCAAAGGAAUUGGCGGGG